UGACAUCAUUACAUACACACCAGCCACAUC
This 30-nucleotide non-coding RNA is filed under the name Mus musculus (house mouse). Lineage: Eukaryota; Metazoa; Chordata; Mammalia; Rodentia; Muridae. The record is from RNAcentral.